Molecule: unclassified non-coding RNA, 517 nt
Filed under: Cichorium pumilum
Lineage: Eukaryota; Viridiplantae; Streptophyta; Magnoliopsida; Asterales; Asteraceae
Description: partial external transcribed spacer
Source: RNAcentral
GGGGGUCGUUUUGGCUUUUGGUUGCUUGCUUGGUCUCGGUGCCAAGGGGGUGGCUCUUAGCUGAAUGGUCUUCGGGGAUGUCUACCGUAAAGGUGCAUGAGUGGUGUUUGGUUUGUUACGGGUGGUUGGAUGUCUGCUUGAGCAGCAACUUCCACGCGGGCAUACCUCUUCAAUAGUGCUACAAGGCUUAGUUUGCCUUGAGCAUCCGGUGGGUUCCUGUGCUGCAUACCUAAUCAAUGGCAUCGUUUGGUUAUAUCAAAGUCCCUUUUCGUGAUAUGUCCCUUGGGGCAUUAAACGAACCUUGAAGCGUUCUCUAUGGUCCAUACUGUUGUUGCCUAUGCAACGAUGGCAUGGCCCUUGGAGCAUCGUAUGGUUUCUUGGAUACGGAAUGCGAUGUGGGCUGUAGGGUCUUUAUCGAUUCUAUUUUUGCCCUCAUUAAGUGUUCUCGCUUUUCUAAACGACCGUCUGUCAUGCAUCGGCAUGUUCGUGUAUGGUGGGCUGUGUCGAAUAGGAAUGC